Onthophagus taurus is the source of this 453-nucleotide non-coding RNA. The record is from RefSeq and is a predicted model, not a curated record. Lineage: Eukaryota; Metazoa; Arthropoda; Insecta; Coleoptera; Scarabaeidae.
CAAUUAGGUAAUAAUUGAAAGGCAGGCAAUUUUGUCCGAUAGAUAAUCGGAAUUGUUCGGUGUUGUGGGGCAGUUUCCGAUGGAAAUAUUCUGAGUACCGCCUGUUACGCUACGAGAUCCUGAGUACCACGACAUAUCGACCGGUUUCGUCCCCCUGGAAACCCUCCACUGUGACGUCAAAGUUGCACGCAAAAAUUAACUACCCCCCAUGGCUUUUUCCCUGGCAGCACGAGCCCAAGAUUCAAGUCUUUUAUGGGUUAACCAGCAACUAGCAGGUCCAAAACCAGACAUUUUCAUUUUUGGACGUACAAAAAUAAAUCACGUCACCAAAAAUAGCUUCAUUUUAAUUGUUAUUUUUAAUCACAAAUCCACUUUUUACUUUUUACAUUAUUUUUUAUUGAUUUAAAAUGAAUACUAUAAGUUUAUAACACUAAUAAACAUUAAGAAAAGGUC